Long non-coding RNA from Spinacia oleracea (spinach), 3536 nucleotides. RefSeq lists it as uncharacterized. The transcript has 2 exons. Lineage: Eukaryota; Viridiplantae; Streptophyta; Magnoliopsida; Caryophyllales; Amaranthaceae. The record is from RefSeq and is a predicted model, not a curated record.
AUCAAAAUAUAUGUCAAAAUCUGGAUAACUGAUCACUAAAUACACUUUGUUACUCUAUAAAAAGCACAACAGAAUUCACCAGAUCAUCCAGUUUCAGUUUAGAGUCUAGACAAGGUCAAAUUUGGUUAAAAUGGCUUUUCUUGUUUUGCAGGAUCAAAGACUCUAGUUGCAUUGUGAAGUUGUACGAUGUAAGUUAGUUCAGGAUUAGGGUCAAGGUCAAGGGUGGAAUUCGGGACUCUCAUCUUGUGCAGUUAGGUAAGUUGAAUUAUGGAUAAUGAACAUGUCCCAAGCCAUGGAUGAUGCUAUCUUAAACAAUUCAUUCGAUAUCUGAUAUAAUGUAGCCUAUUUAAUGGUUUUUUGAACCAGUUUCUAUUCCUUAGACAGUUUGAAAAAGAUAAAAUGGUUGGGCCAUAUUUUGAUCCAGAAUACGAAAACUUAAGCAUCAGAAUAAAUCCUCCCAGGUUCCUAAUCUGUCUAAAUCAUCCGCAAAGAUAUUGUAUCAUACACCUGUCUCUAACUUAGUUUUUUUUUUCAGGGUUUCUGUGGAUAACUCCAGUUGUAGUGACUGUACCCUAGUAAAGGUUGACAGCAUGAACAAACCAGGAAUAUUGUUAGAAGUCAUACAAAUCCUAACUGACCUUGAUCUAAUCAUCACCAAAGCUUACAUUUCUACUGAUGGUGGAUGGUUCAUGGAUGGUAUGUUGUUCUUCAAUUUAAGAUUUCUUCAAUUCUUUUAUCUUGACACAUUGACAGCUAAAUUUUUUGUGUUUUUCUUAAUCACAUACUCUGUAUCUUUUUACUUUAGAAUAUAGCUCAUCUUAGAUAUACACUCUUGCUUUGACUGGCGAUCAAUGUUUGAUAUUUUUUUCCCCUUGUGAAAAAACAGUCUUCCAUGUUACUGACCAAAAUGGGAAGAAGAUUACAGAGUACAGAGUACAGACAGCAAAACCAUAGAAUAUAUAGAAAAGGUACAAAUACUAAUUUGAGAUGGUCAAGGCUGGCAAGGACUUCUUUGGAUUAGUCAUGCUAGCCGAUUGACGAAAAUGAAAGAUGACGAAAAUGAAAGAUGACAUCCAAACCAAUCUCCCCUUGCUAUGGUAUUGAACAAUCCAAAAUGAAUAGAUUCAUUCAAAAAUUUAAGCAUGCAUUAUUAUUAUUAAUCCAUUGGGGGGAGCAAAAUUAGGAGAGACCAAUGUACCUUCCUUCUGGGUAUUAUUCGAAGAAAAUCUUGAAAUUUCCGAUUCAAACAUCAACGGAAGUGGAGAGUAAGCCUGCAAAUAUUAUUCUACAUGUAAAAAUGGAACGAAUUUAUAUACAAAUUCGGUUUAUUUAGGGAAAGCAUGUGUAAAUGGAAUUAAAGUAAUAGAAAAAAAAAUCAGCCCCAAAUCAUAGUGAGAAGUAAUGGCGAAGAAAAAUUACUUCCAGCAAAAUUGAGAGAAGGGAGGUCGGCACUUACUCCGUACUUUUUAUGAAGAACAAGCGAUUAACUUUGUUAAGUUAAUCAGAGAACCGCUCAAGCUCCAUGGACAGCGUCUCUUUAGGAAAAGAAAAAGGAAUUCUACAGAAGCUUUGUGUCUUUGGGAAAGAAAGAAGGAAGGUCAAGUGAUUAUCUAUCCAAGUAAACUCAAACGUGGAGGCUAGGAUUGCAUUAAAAUUUUAAAGACACUUGUCAAGAUCAUGCAAGUGUUGUAAUUAUAAGUUACAACAAGGGUAUAAAAGGAAUAAAAAAAUUACGUAAGAGUAAGAUGAAAACAAAGUUGGAUGAGGGCUUUUUUUUAUAGAAGAGAGGAUAGAAUUCAUCCGUCUUUAGAUGAAGUUUCUAUCCAAGGAUUCUAUUUCAAAUAUAAUAAGUUAUACAUUACUAGAAUUUCUUCAAUUCGCAUCUUAUAUCUUACUCCUCCGUUCUUUUCUAGAUUACUCAAUUUUUUUGCCACAUUUAUCCAUACACGAUACAAAUACUAAUAUCUUUAUUUAUGAAUAAGAAAAAUAUAUGGUGUUUCGUUAGGAGAGGUUUGAAAGAAAAAGAGUUUUUUGGGGUGAAUUAGAGGUUUGACUUUUAGAAAAACCUAUUUGGAAGUGUUUGGUUAUGAGAGGUUUGGAAGAGAGUUUUGGGGUGAAAAAUCUAAUUUUGAAAAAGCUCAAUAUAGGAGUUUUUUGCAAUUAGAGGUUUGAGAUAGUGGAUGAAAAUGACUAUUUUGUCCUACUAUUGCCUAUAAUUACAACCACUAUCAACCUUGGUACCCUACAUUAUUUUUGUCCUAAAAACAUUACUCACUUUCUUUUUCAUUUCACCCUAUUUACUAGAUUCGUUUUUUGUUAUAAUAAAUUUUGUAUUAGUACUUUGAAGGAAUAGAAAUAUAUUGCAAUUAUGCUUGAAAUAUCAUUAGUAAUAUUUUUCUAUUUGAAAAAUAUAUAUUACUAAAAAAAUUAAUUAAAAAUAUUUGUUUUAAAAAUUAUUUUAUUUAGUGAUUGUUUAUUAAAAAAAAUAAAGAGAAAAAAAUUAACACAAUAAACUAAUUGUCUAAUAUUAAUAAAAAACAAAGUAUGUCAAUGUCCUUAAUGGUCAUUUUACAUAUUAAACAGCUAACAGCUAUCAGCUAAUUUACCAAACACUUUUACACAAACAGCUAAUGUAACCAGCUAGUCAAAUCAGCUAAUACAAACAGCUAACCGCUAACAGCUAGUCAAACCAGCUAUCAGCUAACAGCUCCUAACCAAACAGGGCCAUAAUAAGUUGAUAUUUAAAAAAUAUUUCAUAAAAUCUCACAUGACUAUUUAUUUUUAACUAUAAAUCACAAAAAAAAGUCAAAAAACUUGUGUGAAUAGAGUCAAAGUCAAAUUGUGUCAACUAAUAAAUUAAAAGCGCGUCUCCUGUGAGACCAGUCACACCAUCAAAUUGAUGGUGUGACGAGCGCAAAACCAAUAGCGUACCUCCCCUAAAACUAAAAAAAAAAAGUAACAGAUCUAAACUAUAGAAGUAACAUACCUAAAUUAAAAAAGUACCUCCUCUAAACUUAUAUUAAAAAAAAGUAACAUGUCUAAACUAUAGAAAUAACAUACCUAAACUAAAAAUGUACCUCCCCUAAAACUAUUCCGUAUAAAAAAAAGUAACAUGUCUAAACUAUAGAAGUAACAUACCUAAACUAAAAAAGUACCUCAUCUAAAAUUAUAUAAAAAAAAAAGUAACAUAUCUAAACUAAAAAAAAUACCUCCUCUAACAUUAUUAAAAAAAAAGUAACAUGUCUAAAAUAUAGAAGUAACAUACCUAAACUAAGAAGGUAUCUCCCUAAAAAUACUUCGUAUAAAAAAAGUAACAUGUAUAAACUAUAGAAGUAACAUACCUAAACCAAAAAAAAGUACUUCCUCUUAAAUUUUUUUAAAAAAGUAACAUGUCUAAACUAUAGAAGUAACAUACCUAAACUAAGAAGGUAUCUCCCCUAAAAUUACUCCGUAUAAAAAAAGUAACAUGUAUAAACUAUAGAAGUAACAUACCUAAACUAAAUAAAAUACCUCCUCUAAAAUUAAAAAAAAAAAAA